This 301-nucleotide ribosomal RNA is filed under the name uncultured bacterium. Its description in RNAcentral is "partial 16S ribosomal RNA". It matches the Rfam family "Bacterial small subunit ribosomal RNA", at positions 509 to 808 of the family's 1533-position model. The record is from RNAcentral.
CAGUAGCCGCGGUAAUACGUAGGUGGCAAGCGUUGUCCGGAAUUAUUGGGCGUAAAGCGCGCGCAGGCGGUUUCUUAAGUCUGAUGUGAAAGCCCCCGGCUUAACCGGGGAGGGUCAUUGGAAACUGGGAGACUUAGAGUGCAGAAGAGGAGAGUGGAAUUCCAUGUGUAGCGGUGAAAUGCGUAGAUAUAUGGAGGAAGACCAGUGGCGAAGGCGACUCUCUGGUCUGUAACUGACGCUGAGGCGCGAAAGCGUGGGGAGCAAACAGGAUUAGAUACCCGGGUAGUCCCUGUCUCUUAUU